UACGUAGGUGGCAAGCGUUGUCCGGAUUUAUUGGGUUUAAAGGGUGCGUAGGCGGUCCCAUAAGUCAGUGGUGAAAUACUCUAGCUUAACUAGAGGGGUGCCAUUGAUACUGCGGGACUUGAGCAGAGUUGAAGUGGGCGGAAUUGACGGUGUAGCGGUGAAAUGCUUAGAUAUCGUCAAGAACACCGAUAGUGAAGACAGCUCACUAAGCUCAAACUGACGCUGAGGCACGAAAGUGUGGGGAUCAAACAGG
Molecule: ribosomal RNA, 253 nt
Filed under: uncultured bacterium
Lineage: Bacteria
Description: partial 16S ribosomal RNA
Rfam family: Bacterial small subunit ribosomal RNA
Source: RNAcentral